Varroa destructor (honeybee mite) is the source of this 667-nucleotide long non-coding RNA. The record is from RefSeq and is a predicted model, not a curated record. NCBI's taxonomy places the organism in Eukaryota, Metazoa, Arthropoda, Arachnida, Mesostigmata, Varroidae.
AUUAAAAACAAAACUAUGCUUUUUUUCCACGUAACAGUCGAAGCAGGCGAAACACCCGCUUUCCCUUAACUCUGCCGUGAGUUAGCUAAUUCACUGAAAGACAGUUGACCAGAAAUCUUGAUGCUGCCUAAAGUCUCUACCCUGAUUGCUACGGUACGGUGACGUGCGACAUUGUGGAUUCAGGAAGCACAAGCAAAUGCUACCAUUUACGGAGUGCGACUGUUCGGCGGAAUCUGUUUCGAGUACGCAAACCGCUUUGUUGAUACGAACAAUUAGCUACCUGGUAAAGGGGCUCACAAGCAAAUUUCUCUGAUGUCUUAAUUCCGGUCAAAUCGGAACGUAAUGUUGCCGGAAUCUGUCCAAGAAAAUUGUGGACAAAUGUUCUAGCUGUCCUAACUGAGUCCGUACCAAGAGCUGAUUAAGGCAUCGGUGCCGUAAAUAUACGUGGACAACGAAUACACUCAUCACCAGAAACCGUUGCAAAAGGCGAUUACAACUGGGUCUGCCCUAUUUGGCACUCUAGGCACGUUUCUUGCGCGGCGUCUCAGCGGAGGACGGGUACACACCCUCUAUAACCCGUUUUAGUACUACAGGUUCAGGCCGAACGUAACGCUAUCAGAAUACAGAAAAAUACUACGAAGCAUCCAAAGUGAUUUCCACCUUCCGC